AGGGGGACAAAGAGAAAUAUUCAAGUACAUGUUAAGAAAAGCACACUAAAAACAGGCCCCCAUGAGGGGGACAUUCAUGACACCUAUCAGGUAGGCCCGCGUGAGAGAAAAUGACGAAGGUCGGUUAGGGAAAGGACAGGGAACGCACGACCAACACGUUGUCUGCGUCCCCGACGGCAGUGAGCGGCAGGUGCAGCAGAGCGACCAGUAGAAGAAAAUUCAAUAGCGAGCGACCAGCACGCAGUUACAGGAAGUUCAAAUGGAGCAGCACGAUUCUCAACCAUAACAACAUCACUCUCAACCUGUCGAAGAACAGAAAGGUGUCGC
RNAcentral lists this long non-coding RNA (327 nucleotides) under Zostera marina. Its description in RNAcentral is "long non-coding RNA (ZMAR_LNC002886)". The record is from RNAcentral. Lineage: Eukaryota; Viridiplantae; Streptophyta; Magnoliopsida; Alismatales; Zosteraceae.